GUGUUUGCCAUGACAGACUCAGGAAGCCAAUUUUCAUCAUUGAUAUCUGGUUUUCGAGUAUACUAUGGUGGAGGUAAAAUGGCUACUAUACGGCCAAACAAACGGAGACUCGCUGAUAUCUUUGUCAAGAACAACACCAUAGACUGGAGGACAUUUGAGCAAAGGGUGAGGAAGGCAGUGAGACAAACCAAACGGGUAUUUUCACGACCUGUUGGAAGGAGCGUAUAUAGAUAUCCACGGUGUAAGGAAUGCAUGUGCAACACAUAGGUCUAUAUAGUUAAAUAGGUCCAUUGUCAGUUGAGUUUAGGGGGAAAAUUUCACAAGCAAUUGUAAAUGUAUAGUGUCUUCAUUUUAAACUUGAAUCAAGCACUUGGCUUGCUAUUCUAUAGCAUUAUAUGAUACAUUUGUUAUUCUCUAAUUUCUAAUUUAGUGACAAUUAUCAAGAACAACACAAUAGACUGGAGGACAUUUGAGCAAAGGGUGAGGAAGGCAGUGAGACAAACCAAACGGGUAUUUUCACGGCCUAUUGGAAGGAGCGUAUAUAGAUAUCCACGGUGUAAGGAAUGCAUGUGCAACACAUAGGUCUAUAUAGUUAAAUAGGUCCUUGUCAGUUGAGUUUAGGGGAAAAUUUUCACAAGCAAUUGUAAAUGUAUAAUGUCUUCAUUUGAAACUUGAAUCAAGCACUUGGCUUGAUAUUCUAUAGCAUUAUAUGAUACAUUUGUUAUUCUUCUAAUUUCUAAUGUAGUGACAAUUUGUUGAGAUGAGCUUUGUUGAGUUGUCUGCCCAGUAUAUAUUGAUGUGUAAGCCGCUUAGUUAAUAUGAAAUUACAAUUAAUAGAAUUCAAAAGAAUUACAUAUGUUCACAC
RNAcentral lists this long non-coding RNA (865 nucleotides) under Nicotiana benthamiana. RNAcentral's name for it is "long non-coding RNA (NBEN_LNC007732)". Lineage: Eukaryota; Viridiplantae; Streptophyta; Magnoliopsida; Solanales; Solanaceae. The record is from RNAcentral.